UCGAAUUGUAAACUCCUUUGAUCGGGGAUGAAAAAAAUGACAGUACCCGAAAAACAAGCCACGGCUAACUACGUGCCAGCAGCCGCGGUAAUACGUAGGUGGCAAGCGUUGUCCGGAAUUAUUGGGCGUAAAGGGCGCGUAGGCGGUCCCUUAAGUCAGAUGUGAAAUCCCGAGGCUUAACCUCGGGCGUGCAUUUGAAACUGGGGGACUAGAGUGCAGGAGAGGUAAGUGGAAUUCCUAGUGUAGCGGUGAAAUGCGUAGAUAUUAGGAGGAACACCAGUGGCGAAGGCGACUUACUGGACUGUAACUGACGCUGAGGCGCGAAAGCGUGGGGAGCAAACAGGAUUAGAUACCCUGGUAGUCCACGCUGUAAACGAUGGAUACUAGGUGUGGGAGGUAUCGACCCCUUCCGUGCCGCAGUAAACGCAAUAAGUAUCCCGCCUGGGGAGUACGGCCGCAAGGUUGAAACUCAAA
This 474-nucleotide ribosomal RNA is filed under the name uncultured prokaryote. RNAcentral describes it as "bacterial SSU rRNA". It matches the Rfam family "Bacterial small subunit ribosomal RNA", at positions 418 to 905 of the family's 1533-position model. The record is from RNAcentral.